This 451-nucleotide ribosomal RNA is filed under the name uncultured bacterium. Its description in RNAcentral is "partial 16S ribosomal RNA". It matches the Rfam family "Bacterial small subunit ribosomal RNA", at positions 28 to 507 of the family's 1533-position model. The record is from RNAcentral.
GAUGAACGCUGGCGGCGUGCCUAACACAUGCAAGUCGAGCGGCAGCGAGGGGUGCUUGCACCCUGUCGGCGAGCGGCGGACGGCUGAGUAACGCGUGGGAACGUGCCCCAAAGUGAGGAAUAACUGCCCGAAAGGGUAGCUAAUACCGCAUAUUAUCUUCGGAUCAAAGGAUUUAUCCGCUUUGGGAGCGGCUCGCGUCGGAUUAGGUAGUUGGUGAGGUAAUGGCUCACCAAGCCGACGAUCCGUAGCUGGUCUGAGAGGAUGACCAGCCAGACUGGAACUGAGACACGGUCCAGACUCCUACGGGAGGCAGCAGUGAGGAAACUUCCACAAUGGGCGAAAGCCUGAUGGAGCAACGCCGCGUGCAGGACGAAGGCCUUCGGGUUGUAAACUGCUUUUAUAAGUGAGGAAUAUGACGGUAACUUAUGAAUAAGGAUCGGCUAACUACGUG